This 327-nucleotide ribosomal RNA is filed under the name uncultured eukaryote. RNAcentral describes it as "partial 18S ribosomal RNA". It matches the Rfam family "Eukaryotic small subunit ribosomal RNA", at positions 1470 to 1796 of the family's 1831-position model. The record is from RNAcentral.
CCCUUAGAUGUUCUGGGCCGCACGCGCGCUACACUGACGAAUGCAACGAGCUUAUAACCUUGGCCGAAAGGUCUGGGUAAUCUCCAAAUUUCGUCGUGAUGGGGAUAGAUUAUUGCAAUUAUUAAUCUUCAACGAGGAAUGCCUAGUAAGCGCAAGUCAUCAGCUUGCGUUGAUUACGUCCCUACCCUUUGUACACACCGCCCGUCGCUCCUACCGAUUGAAUGGUCCGGUGAAGCGUUCGGACCGUGGCCUUUGGACGGUUCGCCGUCUGUUGGCUGCGGGAAGUUCGUUAAACCUUAUCAUUUAGAGGAAGGAGAAGUCGUAACA